GACGAACGCUGGCGGCGUGCCUAAUACAUGCAAGUUGAGCGAUGAAGAUUGGUGCUUGCACCACUUUGAAGAGCAGCGAACGGGUGAGUAACGCGUGGGGAAUCUGCCUUUGAGCCGGGGACAACAUCUGGAAACGAAUGCUAAUACCGCAUAACAUCUUUAAACAUAAGUUUCAAGAUUGAAAGAUGCAAUUGCAUUACCUAAAGAUGAUCCCGCCUUGGAUUAGCUAGUUGGUGAGGUAAAGGCCCACCAAGGCCAAGAUACAGAGCCGACCCGGGAGGGUGGACGGCCAAAAUGGGACUGGGACACGGCCCAAGCUCCUACGGGAGGGAGCAGGAGGGAAUCUUCGGGAAUUGACGAAAGGCUUAACGGGCCACGCCGCGGGAGGGAAGGAGGGUUUCGGAUCGGAAAACUCCGUUGGUAGGGAAGGAAGUUGGUGAGAGUUGAAAGCUCAUGAAGUGACGGUAACUACCCAGAAAGGGACGGCUAACUACGUG
Molecule: ribosomal RNA, 497 nt
Filed under: uncultured bacterium
Lineage: Bacteria
Description: partial 16S ribosomal RNA
Rfam family: Bacterial small subunit ribosomal RNA
Source: RNAcentral